UACGUAGGGUCCGAGCGUUGUCCGGAAUUAUUGGGCGUAAAGGGCUCGUAGGCGGUUUGUCGCGUCGGGAGUGAAAACACGGGGCUUAACCCCGUGCCUGCUUCCGAUACGGGCAGACUAGAGGUAUGCAGGGGAGAACGGAAUUCCUGGUGUAGCGGUGAAAUGCGUAGAGCUCGGGAAGAACAUCGGUGGCGAAAGCGCUCUACUGGACUGCAACUGACACUCAGGGACGAAAGCUAGGGGAGCGAAUGGG
This 253-nucleotide ribosomal RNA is filed under the name uncultured bacterium. RNAcentral's name for it is "partial 16S ribosomal RNA". It matches the Rfam family "Bacterial small subunit ribosomal RNA", at positions 524 to 776 of the family's 1533-position model. The record is from RNAcentral.